Molecule: ribosomal RNA, 225 nt
Filed under: Klebsiella pneumoniae
Lineage: Bacteria; Pseudomonadati; Pseudomonadota; Gammaproteobacteria; Enterobacterales; Enterobacteriaceae
Description: partial 23S ribosomal RNA
Rfam family: Bacterial large subunit ribosomal RNA
Source: RNAcentral
GGGUUGUCAUGCCAAUGGCACUGCCCGGUAGCUAAAUGCGGAAGAGAUAAGUGCUGAAAGCAUCUAAGCACGAAACUUGCCCCAAGAUGAGUUCUCCCUGAGACUUUAAGUCUCCUGAAGGAACGUUGAAGACGACGACGUUGAUAGGCCGGGUGUGUAAGCGCAGUGAUGCGUUGAGCUAACCGGUACUAAUGAACCGUGAGGCUUAACCUUACAACGCCGAAG